AAAGAGCUCGUAGGUGGUUUGUCGCGUUGUUCGUGAAAUCUCACGGCUUAACUGUGAGCGUGCGGGCGAUACGGGCAGACUGGAGUACUGCAGGGGAGACUGGAAUUCCUGGUGUAGCGGUGGAAUGCGCAGAUAUCAGGAGGAACACCGGUGGCGAAGGCGGGUCUCUGGGCAGUAACUGACGCUGAGGAGCGAAAGCGUGGGGAGCGAACAGGAUUAGAUACCCCUGU
Molecule: ribosomal RNA, 230 nt
Filed under: uncultured bacterium
Lineage: Bacteria
Description: partial 16S ribosomal RNA
Rfam family: Bacterial small subunit ribosomal RNA
Source: RNAcentral